This 480-nucleotide ribosomal RNA is filed under the name uncultured Acidobacteriota bacterium. Its description in RNAcentral is "bacterial SSU rRNA". It matches the Rfam family "Bacterial small subunit ribosomal RNA", at positions 13 to 525 of the family's 1533-position model. Lineage: Bacteria; Pseudomonadati; Acidobacteriota. The record is from RNAcentral.
UUGAUCCUGGCUCAGAAUCAACGCUGGCGGCGCGCUUAACACAUGCAAGUCGCACGAGAAAGUGGAGCAAUCCAUGAGUACAGUGGCGUACGGGUGAGUUACACGUGGAUCAUCUACCUUUUAGUGGGGAAUACCCCCGGGAAACUGGGUAUAAUACCGCAUAAGCUCGUAAGAGGAAAGCAGCAAUGCGCUGAAAGAGUAGUCCGCGGCUGAUUAGCUAGUUGGUGAGGUAAUGGCUCACCAAGGCGAUGAUCGGUAGCCGGCCUGAGAGGGCACACGGCCACACUGGCACUGAAACAUGGGCCAGACUCCUACGGGAGGCAGCAGUGGGGAAUCUUGCACAAUGGAGUAAACUCUGAUGCAGCGACGCCGCGUGAGCGAUGAAGCCCUUCGGGGUGUUAAGCUCUUUCGACGGGAACGAUAAUGACGGUACCCGAAGAAGAAGCUGCUGCUAACUACGUGCCAGCAGCCGCGGUAAUU